RNAcentral lists this ribosomal RNA (478 nucleotides) under uncultured bacterium. RNAcentral's name for it is "partial 16S ribosomal RNA". It matches the Rfam family "Bacterial small subunit ribosomal RNA", at positions 28 to 523 of the family's 1533-position model. The record is from RNAcentral.
GACGAACGCUGGCGGCGUGCUUAACACAUGCAAGUCGAACGGUAAGGCCCUUCGGGGUACACGAGUGGCGAACGGGCGAGUAACACGUGGGUGAUCUGCCCUGCACUUCGGGAUAAGCCUGGGAAACUGGGUCUAAUACCGGAUAGGACCACUGCCUGCAUGGGUGGUGGUGGAAAGCUUUUGCGGUGUGGGAUGGGCCCGCGGCCUAUCAGCUUGUUGGUGGGGUGAUGGCCUACCAAGGCGACGACGGGUAGCCGGCCUGGGAGGGUGACCGGACACACUGGGAGUGAGAUACGGCCCAGACUCCUACGGGAGGCAGCAGUGGGGAAUAUUGCACAAUGGGCGCAAGCCUGAUGCAGCGACGCCGCGUGAGGGAUGACGGCCUUCGGGUUGUAAACCUCUUUCAGCACCGACGAAGCGCAAGUGACGGUAGGUGCAGAAGAAGGACCGGCCAACUACGUGCCAGCCGCCGCCGUAA